GACGAACGCUGGCGGCGUGCUUAACACAUGCAAGUCGAACGGAAAGGCCCUGCUUUUGUGGGGUGCUCGAGUGGCGAACGGGUGAGUAACACGUGAGUAACCUGCCCUUGACUUUGGGAUAACUUCAGGAAACUGGGGCUCAUACCGGAUAGGAUCUCCUGCUGCAUGGUGGGGGUUGGAAAGUUUCGGCGGUUGGGGAUGGACUCGCGGCUUAUCAGCUUGUUGGUGGGGUAGUGGCUUAACAAGGCUUUGACGGGUAGCCGGCCUGGGAGGGGUACCGGCCACAUUGGGACUGAGAGACGGCCCAGAAGCCUACGGGAGGCAGCAGUGGGGAAUAUUGCACAAUGGGCGGAAGCCUGAUGCAGCAACGCCGCGUGCGGGAUGACGGCCUUCGGGUUGUAAACCGCUUUCGCCGGUGACGAAGAGUGAGUGACGGUAAUGGGUAAAGAAGCACCGGCUAACUACGUG
Molecule: ribosomal RNA, 468 nt
Filed under: uncultured bacterium
Lineage: Bacteria
Description: partial 16S ribosomal RNA
Rfam family: Bacterial small subunit ribosomal RNA
Source: RNAcentral